UCCCUGGGGGCUCAGAUGGUAUGGAAUCUGCCUGCAAUGCAGGAGACCCAGGUUCGAUCCCUGGGUGGGGAA
RNAcentral lists this transfer RNA (72 nucleotides) under Bos taurus (domestic cattle). It matches the Rfam family "tRNA". Rfam says of the family: Transfer RNA (tRNA) molecules are approximately 80 nucleotides in length. Their secondary structure includes four short double-helical elements and three loops (D, anti-codon, and T loops). Further hydrogen bonds mediate the characteristic L-shaped molecular structure. tRNAs have two regions of fundamental functional importance: the anti-codon, which is responsible for specific mRNA codon recognition, and the 3' end, to which the tRNAs corresponding amino acid is attached (by aminoacyl-tRNA synthetases). tRNAs cope with the degeneracy of the genetic code in two manners: having more than one tRNA (with a specific anti-codon) for a particular amino acid; and 'wobble' base-pairing, i.e. permitting non-standard base-pairing at the 3rd anti-codon position. The record is from Rfam by way of RNAcentral. RNAcentral also lists the same sequence under 4 other names. Lineage: Eukaryota; Metazoa; Chordata; Mammalia; Artiodactyla; Bovidae.